CUACGGGCCGCAGCAGUCGAGAAUCUUCCGCAAUGGGCGAAAGCCUGACGGAGCAAUGCCGCGUGCAGGAUGAAGGCCUUCGGGUCGUAAACUGCUGUCACCGGGGAUGAAUAAUGACAGUACCCGGGGAGGAAGUCACGGCUAACUACGUGCCAGCAGCCGCGGUAAUACGUAGGUGACAAGCGUUGUUCGGAUUUAUUGGGCGUAAAGGGUUCGUAGGAUGUUGAUUAAGAUUGGUGUGAAAUCCCAAGGCUCAACCUUGGAACUGCAUUGAUUACUGAUGAACUAGAGUGUCGUAGAGGAAAGCGGAAUUCCAGGUGUAGCGGUGGGAUGCGUAGAUAUCUGGAAGAACACCGACAGCGAAGGCAGCUUUCUGGGCGAUAACUGACUCUGAGGAACGAAAGCAUGGGGAGCAAACAGGAUUAGAUACCCCAGUAGUC
RNAcentral lists this ribosomal RNA (440 nucleotides) under uncultured bacterium. RNAcentral describes it as "partial 16S ribosomal RNA". It matches the Rfam family "Bacterial small subunit ribosomal RNA", at positions 339 to 795 of the family's 1533-position model. The record is from RNAcentral.